UACCUUCAGUACCUGACUUGGAAAUCCUGGACAAAUGGACAUUCGAACAGUUUUGGCAAAAAUGUCAUAAUAUCGGCUACAAAACUGCAAAUGCGAUUCAAAAAUCAAAAUCUUCAUAAUAUCUAGAACUACAAUUUUGAUGUUUUGGCCAGAACCUAGAUCCUAAAAGAACUUGAUGAAAUUGUUAGGAAAAUUCAGGACUUUCCAAUUUGGAAUUCCUGCACUAGAAUCACUUUAGCUAAUUGACCCUAGGACCGUAAUUAGACCAUUACUUUCACUAGAAACUUCCAAAUGGGCCAAAAUGAUCUGAG
This 311-nucleotide unclassified non-coding RNA is filed under the name Hevea brasiliensis (rubber tree). Lineage: Eukaryota; Viridiplantae; Streptophyta; Magnoliopsida; Malpighiales; Euphorbiaceae. The record is from RNAcentral.